Molecule: unclassified non-coding RNA, 401 nt
Filed under: soil metagenome
Description: partial contains 5.8S ribosomal RNA, internal transcribed spacer 2, and large subunit ribosomal RNA
Rfam family: 5.8S ribosomal RNA (bases 1-121)
Source: RNAcentral
GAUGAAGAACGUAGUGAAAUGCGAUAAGUAAUGUGAAUUGCAGAAUUCAGUGAAUCAUCGAAUCUUUGAACGCACCUUGCGCCCUUUGGCUAUUCCAAAGGGCAUGCCUGUUUGAGUAUCAUGAACACCUCAACUCUCAUGGUCUGCCAUGAUGAGCUUGGACUUUGGAGGUCUGCUGGCCUGUGGUCAGCUCCUCUCAAAUGAAUCAGCUUUCCGGUGUUUGGUGGCAUCAUGGGUGUGAUAAAUAUCUACGCUUGUGGUUUUCCACCAGGUAACCUUCAGUGAUGGGGGUUCGCUGGGGCUCAUAAAUGUCUCUCCUCAGCGAAGACAGCUUUGUGAAUGUUUGAUCUCAAAUCAGGUAGGACUACCCGCUGAACUUAAGCAUAUCAAUAAGCGGAGGA